ACGGCUCAGUAACACGUAGUCAACAUGCCCAGAGGACGUGGAUAAUCUCGGGAAACUGAGGAUAAACCGCGAUAGGUCAUAUUUACUGGAAUGUUUUAUGGCUCAAAUCUACAUGGCCUCUGGAUUGGACUGCGGCCGAUCAGGCUGUUGGUGAGGUAAUGGCCCACCAAACCUGUUACCGGUACGGGCUCUGAGAGGAGGAGCCCGGAGAUGGGCACUGAGACAAGGGCCCAGGUCCUAUGGGGCGCAGCAGGCGCGAAACCUCUGCAAUAGGCGAAAGCCUGACAGGGUUACUCUGAGUGAUUCCCGCUAAGGGAAUCUUUUGGCAUCUCUAAAAACGAUGCAGAAUAAGGGGUGGGCAAGUCUGGUGUCAGCCGCCGCGGUAAUACCAGCACCCCGAGUGGUCGGGACGAUUAUUGGGCCUAAAGCAUCCGUAGCCGGUCUUGCAAGUCUUCCGUUAAAUCCAGCUGCUCAACGGAUGGGCUGCGGAAGAUACUACAAGACUAGGAGGCGGAAGAGGCAAGCGGUACUCAGUGGGUAGGGGUAAAAUCCUCUGAUCCAUUGAAGACCACCAGUGGCGAAGGCGGCUUGCCAGAACGCGCUCGACGGUGAGGGAUGAAAGCUGGGGGAGCAAACCGGAUUAGAUACCCGGGUAGUCCCAGCUGUAAACGAUGCAGACUCGGUGAUGGGUCGGCUUCAUGCCGACUCAGUGCCGCAGGGAAGCCGUUAAGUCUGCCGCCUGGGGAGUACGGUCGCAAGACUGAAACUUAAAGGAAUUGGCGGGGGAGCAC
Molecule: ribosomal RNA, 791 nt
Filed under: uncultured archaeon
Lineage: Archaea
Description: bacterial SSU rRNA
Rfam family: Archaeal small subunit ribosomal RNA
Source: RNAcentral